GACGAACGCUGGCGGCGUGCCUAAUACAUGCAAGUAGAACGCUGAAGGAGGAGCUUGCUUCUCUGGAUGAGUUGCGAACGGGUGAGUAACGCGUAGGUAACCUGCCUGGUAGCGGGGGAUAACUAUUGGAAACGAUAGCUAAUACCGCAUAAUAGUAGAUGUUGCAUGACAUUUGCUUAAAAGGUGCAAUUGCAUCACUACUAGAUGGACCUGCGUUGUAUUAGCUAGUUGGUGAGGUAACGGCUCACCAAGGCGACGAUACAUAGCCGACCUGAGAGGGUGAUCGGCCACACUGGGACUGAGACACGGCCCAGACUCCUACGGGAGGCAGCAGUAGGGAAUCUUCGGCAAUGGACGGAAGUCUGACCGAGCAACGCCGCGUGAGUGAAGAAGGUUUUCGGAUCGUAAAGCUCUGUUGUAAGAGAAGAACGAGUGUGAGAGUGGAAAGUUCACACUGUGACGGUAUCUUACCAGAAAGGGACGGCUAACUACGUG
This 495-nucleotide ribosomal RNA is filed under the name uncultured bacterium. RNAcentral describes it as "partial 16S ribosomal RNA". It matches the Rfam family "Bacterial small subunit ribosomal RNA", at positions 28 to 507 of the family's 1533-position model. The record is from RNAcentral.